GGGGAAUAUUGCACAAUGGAGGAAACUCUGAUGCAGCAAUGCCGCGUGUGUGAAGAAGGCCUUCGGGUUGUAAAGCACUUUCAAUAGGGAGGAAAAGUUGUAGGUUAAUACCCUGCAACCGUGACGUUACCUAUAGAAGAAGGACCGGCUAACUCCGUGCCAGCAGCCGCGGUAAUACGGAGGGUCCGAGCGUUAAUCGGAAUUACUGGGCGUAAAGCGCGCGUAGGCGGAUAAGUAAGUCAGAUGUGAAAUCCCCGGGCUCAACCUGGGAACUGCAUUUGAUACUGUUUAUCUAGAGUGUGGUAGAGGUGAGUGGAAUUUCAGGUGUAGCGGUGAAAUGCGUAGAUAUCUGAAGGAACAUCAGUGGCGAAGGCGACUCACUGGGCCAUUACUGACGCUGAGGUGCGAAAGCGUGGGUAGCAAAC
RNAcentral lists this ribosomal RNA (425 nucleotides) under uncultured bacterium. RNAcentral's name for it is "bacterial SSU rRNA". It matches the Rfam family "Bacterial small subunit ribosomal RNA", at positions 356 to 773 of the family's 1533-position model. The record is from RNAcentral.